GUGAAUCAUCGAAUUUUUGAACGCAAAUUGCACUCUCCGCUAUGGGUAUGACUGUUUCAGGUUCAGCCUAUAAAAAUCUACAUCGUUGCUUUUUCGCGGUGGCGUUCGUCUGUAAUUGGGUCAUCUUAAGUCCUUUUUAUUUAAGCGACUUAGAAUUUUCUUUUUAUUCUAUGAAUGUUUCUAAGAUCUAUUUCUUUACACGGUUAAUGUAUCGAUUUUUACUAGACGGUACUAUCAUAUCGGA
Molecule: unclassified non-coding RNA, 244 nt
Filed under: Glomus sp.
Lineage: Eukaryota; Fungi; Glomeromycota; Glomeromycetes; Glomerales; Glomeraceae
Description: partial internal transcribed spacer 2
Source: RNAcentral